AACGAACGCUGGCGGCGCGUUUUAAGCAUGCAAGUCGAACGGGAUCUGAGGUGCUUGCACCUUGGUGAGAGUGGCGAACGGGUGAGUAACGCGUAGGUGAUCUACCUUUUAGUUGGGGAUAGCCCAUGGAAACAUGGGGUAAUACCGAAUGAUCUCUGCGAUUAUGUUUGUAGAGGAAAGGGGCGUUUGCCUCGCUGAAAGAUGAGCCUGCGUAUGAUUAGCUAGUUGGUAGGGUAAUGGCUUACCAAGGCGACGAUCAUUAGCCGGCCUGAGAGGGUGACCGGCCACAUUGGGACUGAGACACGGCCCAG
RNAcentral lists this ribosomal RNA (311 nucleotides) under uncultured bacterium. Its description in RNAcentral is "bacterial SSU rRNA". It matches the Rfam family "Bacterial small subunit ribosomal RNA", at positions 29 to 334 of the family's 1533-position model. The record is from RNAcentral.